Molecule: long non-coding RNA, 2346 nt
Filed under: Fragaria vesca (wild strawberry)
Lineage: Eukaryota; Viridiplantae; Streptophyta; Magnoliopsida; Rosales; Rosaceae
Description: long non-coding RNA (FVES_LNC001803)
Source: RNAcentral
AAGAUCAUUUCAUAAGCUGAAGUUAUAAUAUAUGCUCUAAAAGUAAAAUGAUAAAUUAUAAAAUCUUGCAUGCAUAUUUAUAAAAAACCAAAGUGUCCACUCACAAAUUUAGGCAUAAGCCCGACGAAAUCCGAAUCGUCACUCAAGUGAUGUCCCCUCGUAUCCUGGCACAAUAAAUAUGUUUAGAACCACUCUUCAAUUUAGGAAAAAAAUAAAUGUUUUAACUUAAGCACCGAAAUCCUUCCACUUAACCAACUAAUCAAGCUAGGGUUAAGCUAAUUAGAUUUUCACCAAACAUCAACUACAACCUCACUUCAUCGAUUCUAGCACUUUAGGACCAUAACUGUCACGCCCUAAUUUUCAAAAAUUUUCGAAGGAUAAAUUUCAAAAAUUUGGGCAUGAUAUAACUCUCAAAAUAUAAUUCCCAAGACCUGUUCAACAAACUUAAAGAAGACUAAACUCAAAUGCAGAAAUGUAAUGUCAACACAACUCAACAUCGAGUUAAAUAUUACAUUUCCUUGUUUACAUAAACUUGAAAGUUAACAAAUGAAAACACUCGAAUGAGUUUAAUGCUGUCUACCAAAUAUAAUAAUAUCAAGUGUACAACAACUAAAACCCUGUCACUAUUCCUCCGCCUCAACCAUGCUGAUCAACACCUGCAGGUCUAACCCUACACCAUGAAUUAGUCACCGGGUUGUAAACAACAAACCAGGUAAGCUAAAAAGCCCGUAUAAGUAACUCUAAAAAAUAACUCAACCCAACAUUACAUAAGAUAAAACCGGUAAUUUCUGCUUUAGAACUUAGUUUAGGAAUCACCUCAAAACAAUAAAAUUCAAAAGAGAAUAAAUAAGAAAACACAACAAUUCACAAAACAAUCAAAAUCAUAAGUGAAUCCUGCAAAAAUGAUAGCUCAGGAAUUCCACUAAAAAUCACACAAAUAAUAUUAAAGAAUCUCCUGCAUUAAGCAUAGUUCAUGAGAUACUCAAAACAAGGAAUUUAAAAACAACAACAAUAAAAAAUGUUAAAACCACAUACCAAUACUUUACAAAUAUACAUGUAUCCAUGAGUCCCAGAUACCAAUAAGGUAUCUCUCAUGACCUACAACAAACAUAUGUACCCAUGAGUCCCAGAUAUUAAUAAAUACCUCUCAUGAUUUACAACAACAAUUUAUGUACCCAUGGGUCCUAGAUACCUUAAGGUACCUCCUAUGACCUACACCGACAGACGGACUAGAGCUCUAUUCCUAACCGUAACCAAUCACCCAGUUUGACUGUCUAAUAUCACAUCAAAAAAUAAUAAUAACAUCAUAACCGUAACCAAUCACCCACUACUAGGACAAGCACUUUAGCCGACGAAAAUUUUUCGUCGGCCUGUCAGCUUAAUUCGUCGGCUAAGAUCUUAGCCGACGACCUUUCGUCGGCUAAUAUUUCGUCGGGAAAAGCUCGUCUGUGGUGACUUUAGCCGACGACACAUGUAUAAGUCGUCGGCUAUAGUCCAGACUUUAGCCGACGACAUUAUUUCGUCGGCUAUAGUCAGACUUUAGCCGACGACAUUUUUGUCGUCGGUUAUCUGCCAAACUUUAGCCGACGAAUAUUUUAAAAUAUUCGUCGGCUAAAGUUUGUAAUAAAAAAAUAAAAAAGAUCUAUGGCCGACGAAAUAAAGUAUAUUUCGUCGGCUUUAUAGGUAUUUAGCCGACGAAUUAGAGCAUAUUUCGUCGGCUAAAAGUUAUUUUAAAAAAAAUAAAAAACUUUAGCCGACGAAUUAAAGCUUUUUUCGUCGGCUAUAAGUCCUUUCCAGUAAAAAAAAACCCCGAAAUUUCUGAAUUACCAUUCCAAGCAAGCUGCAAAAUAUACCAAAACAAUUCCAUAUUCCAUAUAACCAACAACAAGCACAUAAAAGUAUAUAAUUCAUCAACUACAUAAAAUCUAAAUCGUCUAAAUUAAUAUCCGCUUCUGGGGGUUACUGCGGAGGUUGCUGCGGAGGUUGCGGCGGAGGUUGCGGCGGCUGGGGUAGCGGCAUGGGCGGAGGCAUGGGCGGAGGCGGAAGUCCCUGAAGCUGGGCAGCUGUAAAGUCCUGCAUGUACUGGAACAUCUGCUGCUGCUGGGCCUGCUGGAUGGCAUGUAUCUCGGCAACAUAGGCUGCCUGCGCAGCAUUAUAGGCUGCCUGCGAGGCAUUAUAGGCUGCUUGCGAGGCAUUAUAGGCUUCCUGAGCAGCUUGCUGUUCUCGUAGUCUCUGAACUUCCGACUCUAGCUGAGUCGUCCUGGUGAUCGUGGACGUGGUCCUGCUGCUGGUCGAUGCUGCCUUUCUUUGAAAUCCUGGAGUGGUCUUCAGGACCCCCUCGNNNNN